This 88-nucleotide ribosomal RNA is filed under the name uncultured eukaryote. RNAcentral describes it as "partial Eukaryotic large subunit ribosomal RNA". The record is from RNAcentral.
AAGAAAAAGAAAAGAAAAAAAGAGGUUUAAAAGGGGUUUAAAAGAGGUUUAAAAGAAAAAAAGGAAAAAGGAAAAAGGAAAAAUGUUG